RNAcentral lists this long non-coding RNA (1392 nucleotides) under Ananas comosus (pineapple). RNAcentral's name for it is "long non-coding RNA (ACOM_LNC009357)". The record is from RNAcentral. Lineage: Eukaryota; Viridiplantae; Streptophyta; Magnoliopsida; Poales; Bromeliaceae.
ACAGAGCAGCAGAUUUCAGAUUGGGUAUAUUUGGUCUAUAAAUCCAGUUGACGUAUAUGUCUAUAGUAGCAGUCGUUGCAUGCAUACUUACAGUUCUUACUUUACAGUUGUCUUGCUACUAUAGUAGAUAUUCAUGUAUGCUUUCUGUUCUAGUUACAGUAGCGGUAGUCGUUAUUCAGUAUAGUUCCUACUUUCUUUCAGUUUAUUGCUACUGUAUUCAGUAUAUCUGCUCAUUACCUUAUUUAUCUCUUCCUAAUUCGGUGAGUACUCCUUGCCUUCAUCGACUUGCGGUACCCACUGGGAGGGGAGACAUGUUUACAUGUUCUCACCUCCCCCACCAUUUGUUAGGUAUUGCGGGCGGUGAGAUUGAGACGAGAUGUGAGACAAGUGGAUAGCUGUCGAUAGAACUUCUGACCCGGUUUGUGUAGUUUAGUUACUACCUUUAUUAUUUCUGUUGAUAUGAUUUAGACAUCUAUAUGGUUCAGUAUUUCCUUAUGUUUAAUUAUUCAAGAUUUUAGUUGGUUUUUCCGAAUGAGAUAAAGAUUUCUAGAUUUUUAUAGAAAGGAAAGGUUUUCUAUCCCUCGUGGUAGCGUGUUUUCAAAAGAAAAGAUUUCCGUGUGGGAAACAGCUUUCAAAAGAGUUUUCUCGUAGUUUUCUUGACUUAGUAUUUCAAAAUAAGUUUCCGGGUAGGAAACGUUUUAACUGAUAGUUGUGGAUUUAUAUUCAGAUCUCUAUUUAUGAACUUGUGGUGAAUGGUGUAAGGAUAUUGAAUGUAUGAUGACUUGUAUAUUCAUUUAGUUGUGAUUGUAUCCUGUUUUACAUCUUGUAUUUGUGCGACGCACUGUAAAUAUAUGGGAGACUCUGUCCGUGUGAACAGUGGAAUCACUGUAUUUGUGGCGGAUCUGGCAUACCCUGGGGUCAGGUUUUCAAAAACAAAAAAAAAAUUCUAGUCGCUUCCGCUUUAUUUUCAAACUAAAAGAGACCCCGGGGCAUAACAUAUAUAUUUCCAGAGAAUAUAUAAAUUAGCUCGUAAUUAAAAUAUACUAUUCUCGAGCAUUUUAAAGGUAGAUUUGAGUGGCCUGAGCCCCAAAAAGAAAAUAGGAGAUAUUUUAAGUUCAAUUUCCCGCCUAUAUUGACGAUGCGGUACAAAUUAAAUAGGGUUGGGUAGAUUAAUAAAAAGGGAAAAUUUCAUGGAUACCACUCGCAAAGUCUAAAAUAUCAUGGAUACCCCUAUAAAGUUUUAAAUAUCACCUAUAUCCUUGUGAAUAUAGAAUAUUAUCAUCAAUACCCCAACCGUUAGUUAUAUUAGUUUUACCAUAGUUAUUAAAUGGUUAAAAAUGGGUUAACUUUUGAAAUGACUUAUUUACCCUCAACUAUCUCUUAAGUAAAAAU